GGGCGCGUACUGGUUUCGAUUUUAAGAAAAUAAAUUGAAAUGCAAGUGGAGGUUGAAUCGAGGACUCCUUAAAAAGUUUCAAUUAUAUUAACUGCCAAAACAGCUAAAUAUAAAGGUCAUAUCUCUGCUAGAGUUUCUCUAGUUGAGAUGACCGCUUCUGUAGCCUAAGUUCUACAGCGUGACUACCUUGACACAUCUAUUGGAUAGUUGCGUAAUUAGAUGUCUUAUUAUUUAUAGUUUUUUUGUUCUAUCAGUAUUAAGUAUUAAAAAUAAAAUCGCUAAGUAUGUUUGUUCUUUAUCUAUACAAAGCUAAAAAUAAAAAGAACUAAACUUGUAGUAUUUUAAUUUAGAUUUUUAAAAGAC
RNAcentral lists this transfer-messenger RNA (363 nucleotides) under Caulobacteraceae bacterium. RNAcentral describes it as "partial transfer-messenger RNA". It matches the Rfam family "transfer-messenger RNA". Rfam says of the family: Bacterial tmRNA, also known as 10Sa RNA or SsrA, is named for its dual tRNA and mRNA-like properties. Lineage: Bacteria; Pseudomonadati; Pseudomonadota; Alphaproteobacteria; Caulobacterales; Caulobacteraceae. The record is from RNAcentral.